UGCGGGGUGGAGCAGUUCGGUAGCUCGUCGGGCUCAUAACCCGAAGGUCGCAGGUUCAAAUCCUGCCCCCGCCACCA
This 77-nucleotide transfer RNA is filed under the name cyanobacterium TDX16. RNAcentral's name for it is "tRNA-Met". It matches the Rfam family "tRNA". Rfam says of the family: Transfer RNA (tRNA) molecules are approximately 80 nucleotides in length. Their secondary structure includes four short double-helical elements and three loops (D, anti-codon, and T loops). RNAcentral also lists the same sequence under 2 other names. The record is from RNAcentral. Lineage: Bacteria; Bacillati; Cyanobacteriota.